Molecule: ribosomal RNA, 58 nt
Filed under: Alternaria alternata
Lineage: Eukaryota; Fungi; Ascomycota; Dothideomycetes; Pleosporales; Pleosporaceae
Description: partial 28S ribosomal RNA
Source: RNAcentral
UGACCUCGGAUCAGGUAGGGAUACCCGCUGAACUUAAGCAUAUCAAUAAAGCGGAGGA